RNAcentral lists this ribosomal RNA (484 nucleotides) under uncultured bacterium. RNAcentral describes it as "partial 16S ribosomal RNA". It matches the Rfam family "Bacterial small subunit ribosomal RNA", at positions 30 to 507 of the family's 1533-position model. The record is from RNAcentral.
AUUGAACGCUAGCGGGAUGCUUUACACAUGCAAGUCGAACGGCAGCGCGGACUUCGGUCUGGCGGCGAGUGGCGAACGGGUGAGUAAUGUAUCGGAACGUGCCCAGUAGCGGGGGAUAACUACGCGAAAGCGUAGCUAAUACCGCAUACGCCCUACGGGGGAAAGCAGGGGAUCGUAAGACCUUGCACUAUUGGAGCGGCCGAUAUCGGAUUAGCUAGUUGGUGAGGUAACGGCUCACCAAGGCGACGAUCCGUAGCUGGUUUGAGAGGACGACCAGCCACACUGGGACUGAGACACGGCCCAGACUCCUACGGGAGGCAGCAGUGGGGAAUUUUGGACAAUGGGGGCAACCCUGAUCCAGCCAUCCCGCGUGUGCGAUGAAGGCCUUCGGGUUGUAAAGCACUUUUGGAAGGAAAGAAACGUCGCGGGCUAAUACCCCGGGGAACUGACGGUACCUGCAGAAUAAGCACCGGCUAACUACGUG